Molecule: long non-coding RNA, 535 nt
Filed under: Mustela putorius furo (domestic ferret)
Lineage: Eukaryota; Metazoa; Chordata; Mammalia; Carnivora; Mustelidae
Description: lncRNA (ENSMPUG00000031539.1)
Source: RNAcentral
GCUCAGUGAGUUAAGCCUCUGCCUUCGGCUCAGGUCAUGAUCUCAGGGUCCUGGGAUCGAGCCCUGCAUUGGGCUCUCCACUCAGCGGGGAGCCUUCUUCCCCUUCUCUCUCUCUGUCUGCCUCUCUGCCUACUUGUAAUCUCUGUCUGUCAAAUAAAUAAAUAAAAUCUUUGGAGGGGGGGAAAGGAAUAGAGUUUCCAAAUGCUGAUGAUUGUAUAGGGAUUUUUUUUUUUUGAGAGGGGGAGUGGGUGCUGAUAAAAUGGUUAUACUAUAUCCUUGCUUAGGCUGUCUCUAAUGUCUAAUGUCUAAUAUCUCUUGUCAUUCUGUGGUAUCUAGGGAUGGUGGAGGAACUGGACUGGUUUCUUCUCUGUCACCUCUCUGUCUCUGUGAAAGGACCAAAAUGGAAGAUGGGGACACACUUGGCUUCUGUAGCAUCAGGAAGUAGAAACCAGUUAAGGCUGGUACUAACUGUGACCAAGAACAGCUUAGCCUUGGGCUAUGGGUUCCAGAGCUUCAAGCACCCAUAGAAUUUCCU